UACAGAGGGGGCGAGCGUUGUUCGGAAUUACUGGGCGUAAAGGGCGCGUAGGCGGCCUUCUAAGUCGAACGUGAAAUCCCCGGGCUCAACCCGGGAACUGCGUCCGAUACUGGGAGGCUUGAAUCCGGGAGAGGGAUGUGGAAUUCCAGGUGUAGCGGUGAAAUGCGUAGAUAUCUGGAGGAACACCGGUGGCGAAGGCGGCAUCCUGGACCGACACUGACACUGAGGAGCGAAAGCCAGGGGAGCAAACGGG
RNAcentral lists this ribosomal RNA (253 nucleotides) under uncultured bacterium. RNAcentral's name for it is "partial 16S ribosomal RNA". It matches the Rfam family "Bacterial small subunit ribosomal RNA", at positions 524 to 776 of the family's 1533-position model. The record is from RNAcentral.